RNAcentral lists this ribosomal RNA (301 nucleotides) under uncultured bacterium. RNAcentral's name for it is "partial 16S ribosomal RNA". It matches the Rfam family "Bacterial small subunit ribosomal RNA", at positions 509 to 809 of the family's 1533-position model. The record is from RNAcentral.
CAGUAGCCACGGGAAUACGAAGGGUGCAAGCGUUACUCGGAAUUACUGGGCGUAAAGCGUGCGUAGGUGGUGGUUUAAGUCCGUUGUGAAAGCCCUGGGCUCAACCUGGGAAUUGCAGUGGAUACUGGAUCACUAGAGUGUGGUAGAGGAUAGUGGAAUUUCCGGUGUAGCAGUGAAAUGCGUAGAGAUCGGAAGGAACAUCUGUGGCGAAGGCGACUAUCUGGGCCAACACUGACACUGAGGCACGAAAGCGUGGGGAGCAAACAGGAUUAGAUACCCCUGUAGUCCCUGUCUCUUAUAA